ACUGAUUUUGGUUGCCGCUGCGAUCCAAACAUUUCGGGAACCCCGGGGUCCGGUUACGGGGAACUCGUCAAAACUCGUACUUUUGGUCUAUUUUGGCCAGUUUUGUAUGCUAUCACUCACUGAUUUUGGGUCCCGCUGUGAUCCGAACGUUUUGGGAACCCCGGGAUCCGAUUACGUGGAACUCAUGAAAACUCGCAGUUUCGGCCUAUUCCCGCCAGUUUUGUAUGCUAUUACUCACUAAGUUUGGAUCCCGC
Molecule: long non-coding RNA, 254 nt
Filed under: Hordeum vulgare
Lineage: Eukaryota; Viridiplantae; Streptophyta; Magnoliopsida; Poales; Poaceae
Description: long non-coding RNA (HVUL_LNC021730)
Source: RNAcentral